AUCUCUUCUCAGCCCUUUGGCCAAGAUCAAGGCUAGUAGCUGUUCUUUUAAGUUUAAAAUGCUGGACAUUUUGUAUAGCGUAGUGGAGACUGUAAAUAUUUUUUGUGCCAUGGUUAGCCUCAGUGCACUAAUGCAGAGUUUAAAAUUUCUCCGGCUUUGCCUGUGUUUAGGGCGAAGGCUGU
This is a small nuclear RNA of Artibeus jamaicensis (Jamaican fruit-eating bat), 182 nucleotides long. RefSeq annotates it as U2 spliceosomal RNA. Lineage: Eukaryota; Metazoa; Chordata; Mammalia; Chiroptera; Phyllostomidae. The transcript has a single exon. The record is from RefSeq and is a predicted model, not a curated record.